AGAUUGAACGCUGGCGGCAUGCCUUACACAUGCAAGUCGAACGGCAGCACGGGAGCAAUCCUGGUGGCGAGUGGCGAACGGGUGAGUAAUAUAUCGGAACGUGCCCAGUCGUGGGGGGAUAACGCAGUGAAAGCUGUGCUAAUACCGCAUACGAUCUAUGGAUGAAAGCGGGGGACUCGCAAGAGCCUCGCGCGAUUGGAGCGGCCGAUAUCAGAUUAGCUAGUUGGUGGGGUAAAAGCCCACCAAGGCGACGAUCUGUAGCUGGUCUGAGAGGACGACCAGCCACACUGGAACUGAGACACGGUCCAGACUCCUACGGGAGGCAGCAGUGGGGAAUUUGGACAAUGGGCGCAAGCCUGAUCCAGCAAUGCCGCGUGCAGGAUGAAGGCCUUGGUUGUAAACUGUCUUUUGUAACGGAACGUAAAAGGUCCUUUACUAAUACGAACGGGCCAGUGAACGGUACCGUAAGAAUAAGGACACCGG
RNAcentral lists this ribosomal RNA (483 nucleotides) under uncultured soil bacterium. RNAcentral's name for it is "bacterial SSU rRNA". It matches the Rfam family "Bacterial small subunit ribosomal RNA", at positions 26 to 496 of the family's 1533-position model. The record is from RNAcentral.